RNAcentral lists this ribosomal RNA (91 nucleotides) under Albicollum chionostomum. RNAcentral's name for it is "Hypoxylon chionostomum partial 28S ribosomal RNA". Lineage: Eukaryota; Fungi; Ascomycota; Sordariomycetes; Xylariales; Xylariaceae. The record is from RNAcentral.
GGCGGUGUUCGGUACACACAUAGCGUAGUAAUUUAUUUCUCGCUUCUGUCGUGGCCUGAGCUACCCGCCGUAAAACCCCCUAUACUUCUAA